UGCACUGCACAGUUCUGCAUUCAACAGUUUAUUCCUUCUGGGGUGUUCAAAGGUCAGUGACACAGAAAUCCAGUAUCUGGCAUCUUUGGUUUUCUUGGCUUUGUGCAUAUUUAACCUUGUAUCUAUUGAUACAGUA
RNAcentral lists this small nucleolar RNA (136 nucleotides) under Prolemur simus (greater bamboo lemur). Its description in RNAcentral is "Small nucleolar RNA SNORA8 (ENSPSMG00000009988.1)". It matches the Rfam family "Small nucleolar RNA SNORA8". Rfam says of the family: ACA8 is a member of the H/ACA class of snoRNA that guide the sites of modification of uridines to pseudouridines. Lineage: Eukaryota; Metazoa; Chordata; Mammalia; Primates; Lemuridae. The record is from Rfam by way of RNAcentral.